Molecule: long non-coding RNA, 581 nt
Organism: Carassius carassius (crucian carp)
Lineage: Eukaryota; Metazoa; Chordata; Actinopteri; Cypriniformes; Cyprinidae
Exons: 3
Source: RefSeq, a predicted model, not a curated record
GCAUGUACAUAAAGGAUGCCCGGCAGGAGAAUGUGAGACGUGUUUCAUUACCUCAUCAAAUGGAUUCCUGCAGUAAAUCCAUGCAAUAUUCUAUGCAUAUCUGUCACAUGAUCUUAUAUUUGUUUUCUUCACGGAGGAAGCAUCUGCUGAGUUCUCCAGCGUGAAUCUCUCCGCUCUUCUCUGGCGCUCCUGGAACAUGAUGGAUCCUCUGUUGGUGUUCAGGUUCAGCUCCUCCAUCAUCACAUCCCUAGGAACGCUGAUCUUCUUCCCAAGAGUUGGAUUCAGCUGAGCUGGAGUUUCUGUGAGCCCAGAUCAGACACACUGUGGCUUACGUCAAUGGAAAAUCGCAAACAAACAUACUGAGACACUGGGAUAGUUUGAGGAAUGUUUUGUAUGUGGAGACUUCCCUCCGUUUAGAUCACUCAACUGACUGAGGAAGAAUCUGCUUUGAUCUGUUCUGCUCCUGUCAGUCAACUGCACCGUCUCUCAUAUGAGUCCUUACAAGACUGAAGUCCAUCCACAGUCACCUUAUGAUUGCCCUGAUUAAUUGUGAUAUGUCAUUUUGUAGGAAUGUGUGUGUG